CUAGGGCACUAAAUGUAACCUCAGACCCAGGACGGCGCCAGCCGCUAAUGGGAGGCCCUUGAGGUGGCCUAGGCGGUACCCCUGAGCUGACAGCAUCACCCCACCCCGCACCCCCUCCCUUCUGUUUUGUUUUUCAUCUCCCCCCUCCUCCUCCCUCCAGUCCGCGACGGCUGGCUCUUAGACCCUCGCUGAAGAUUUGACUGACUCACGAUUCUGUCUAUAAAGUCUAAGUCAACUGGUCAUCAUAAAAGAUGGAGAACCAACAACCAGAAGGCUCUCCCUGCGAUUGGCCACACGUCCCUCCCCUCGGCUAAGCUCCCAGACGCCAGACCGAGGCAAAGGCCGCGAGGCCACGCGGAGCUCCCGGGGCGCCAGGCCCGGGCGGGUCACGCAGGAGAGGCGACGAAGGAAG
Acomys russatus (golden spiny mouse) is the source of this 412-nucleotide long non-coding RNA. RefSeq lists it as uncharacterized. The transcript is spliced from 3 exons. Lineage: Eukaryota; Metazoa; Chordata; Mammalia; Rodentia; Muridae. The record is from RefSeq and is a predicted model, not a curated record.